Molecule: long non-coding RNA, 1050 nt
Filed under: Brassica rapa (field mustard)
Lineage: Eukaryota; Viridiplantae; Streptophyta; Magnoliopsida; Brassicales; Brassicaceae
Description: long non-coding RNA (BRAP_LNC001958)
Source: RNAcentral
CUGCACUCUAGACUUCAUCAUUGGUUUUGCAGUCUAGAUUAAUAAUUGUAAAUAGUACUGUUGUUUAGAAAAUAAGGAAAGACAUUAUUAAAACUAGUUUACCCUCCAAUAAUUGUGACCCGAGCAGUAGAUUUCUUAGUGCGUGGGGUAUGAUUGGUGGCAAUCUACUCUAUUGCCACUUAAAGCAAAAAGUGGCAAUAUAUUCUUUAUAUAGACAGGAAGUAGGAAAACAAAGACUCUCUCCUCAUCUUGAGCCAUGGAAGUUCAAUCAAGAUCUUCUUAAAUUGGAUCGAACUCAAAACGUUGGAAUGAAAUGGGGAGCUUAAGCUGAGCUUCCAUGGAAGCUUCUAGGUGGACCGCAGGGUUCUUACCAUAUAGCUUAAAAAUACAAUGUUCUCUUCCUGCUCUUAAUUAACCAGUGGUUAUAAUGAAUUUUCUAACCUGCACGGUUAAAGCAGUGGGGUUAACCGGCAAGUCAUGGAACGGCGGAUAGGCUCGAUCCUCUUCGAACCUACCAAGGUGUUAUAUCGGCUCCUUCUCUACUAUUUAGGUUUUUUUGUUCUUUUUUAUUUUCCAUUAAUGUUAUUUCUUGAUUCUUGUUGUUUCGUUAAUUCUGUUGUGACUCUAUUUCUACGAUUAAAAGGUGAUACGAUGUUCGAAUUUGUUUAAACAGUGUUUACAUCCCUCGUUAAUUCAUGAAUGUGAAACUUGUUCCAGUGAAUGCCAUAUAAAGGAACUCUUUUUCUUCUAAAUUGAUUAAAGUAUUACAUAGUGUCAAUAAGAAUGCGGUAAUUGGUAACAGAUAAGUUGCUUAGUAUUGAUGUACAACACCUCAGAUUCGUUUUAUGUAGUUGUUAAAUACUAACGAAUAAAAUUGUGCAUUUGUUUUUUCUGUCAAGUGACUUGUAUUGGUGUUUCUAUUAUGCAUAAUUUGAUUAUUUAACAACUUGCAGCUGCCAAAAAAUUAAGAGUUUUUGAAUUCAACAAAAAGUUUAAGUAAUUCUACCAGCGAAUCGUAUCUCUAAGUUAUUUCAAAAACGAUGAUUGUUA